UACAGAGGGGGCGAGCGUUGUUCGGAAUUACUGGGCGUAAAGGGCGCGUAGGCGGCCCGCUAAGUCGAACGUGAAAUCCCCAGGCUCAACCUGGGAACUGCGUCCGAUACUGGCAGGCUUGAAUCCGGGAGAGGGAUGUGGAAUUCCAGGUGUAGCGGUGAAAUGCGUAGAUAUCUGGAGGAACACCGGUGGCGAAGGCGGCAUCCUGGACCGGUAUUGACGCUGAGGUGCGAAAGCUAGGGGAGCAAACGGG
Molecule: ribosomal RNA, 253 nt
Filed under: uncultured bacterium
Lineage: Bacteria
Description: partial 16S ribosomal RNA
Rfam family: Bacterial small subunit ribosomal RNA
Source: RNAcentral